GCACUAUUGGAAGAGCCUGUGUUGGAUUAGCUAGUUGGUGGGGUAAAGGCCUACCAAGGCGACGAUCCAUAGCUGGUCUGAGAGGAUGAUCAGCCACACCGGAACUGAGACACGGUCCGG
This 120-nucleotide ribosomal RNA is filed under the name uncultured bacterium. Its description in RNAcentral is "partial 16S ribosomal RNA". It matches the Rfam family "Bacterial small subunit ribosomal RNA", at positions 215 to 334 of the family's 1533-position model. The record is from RNAcentral.